GUACCAGGCUAGGGAAGCUGUGGGCUCUCAGGGAAGAGAUGGAUGAUGAACAAGCUUUACACUGGGAACCUGAGCCCCAUGGUCACCACCGACGACCUCUGGCAGCUCUUUGGGGACAGGAUGCUGGCCCCCAUGGGACAGAUCCUGCUCAAGUCUGGCUAUGCCUUCGUGGACUACCCCGACCAGAACUGGGCCAUCCGAGCCAUCGAGACCGUCUCGGGUAAAGUGGAAUUGCAUGGGAAAAUCAUGGAAGUUGAUUACUCAGUCUCUAAAAAGCUAAGGAGCAGGAAAAUUCAGAUUCGAAACAUUCCUCCUCGCCUGCAGUGGGAGGUGUUGGAUGGACUUUUGGCUCAAUAUGGAACAGUGGAGAAUGUAGAACAAGUCAACACAGACAUAGAAACCGCUGUUGUCAGUGUCACAUAUGCAACAAGAGAAGAAAAUAAACAUGGAGAAGCUAAGUGGGCAUCAGUUUGAGAACUACUUCUUCAAGAUUUCCUACAUCCCAGACGAAGAGGUGAGCUCCCCUUCGUCCCCUCAGUGAGCCCAGUGCGGGGACCACUCUUCUCGGGGAGCAGGGCCAGCCCCUGGGGGCACUUCUCAGGCUAGACAGAUUGAUUUCCUGUUGAGGAUCCUGGUCCCCACCCAGUUUGUUGGUGCCAUCAUCAGGAAGGAGGGCUUGACCAUAAAGGACAUCACUAAGCAGACCCAGUCCCAGGUAGACAUCCAUAGAAAAGAGAACUCUGGAGCUGCAGAGAAGCCUGUCACCAUCCAUGUCACCCCAGGGGGGACUUCUGAAGCAUGCCGCAUGAUUCCUGAAAUCACGCAGAAAGAGGCAGAUGAGACCAAACUAGCCGAAGAGAUUCCUCUGAAAAUCUUUGCCCACAAUGGCUUGGUUGGAAGACUGACUGGAAAAGAAGGCAGGAAUUUGAAGAAAAUUGAACAUGAAACAGGGAUCAAGAUAGCAAUCUCAUCUUUGUAGGAUUUGAGCAUAUACAACCCGGAAAGAACCAUCACUGUGAAGGGCACAAUUGAGGCCUGUGCCAGUGCUGAGAUAGAGAUUAUGAAGAAGCUGCGUGAGGCCUUUGAAAAUGAUAUGUUGGCUGUUAAUAUCCACUCUGGAUACUUCUCCAGCCUGUAUCCCUAUCACCAGUUUGGCCCGUUCUUGCAUCAUCACUGUUAUCCAGAGGAGGAGAUUGUGAAUCUCUUCAUCCCAACUCAGGCUGUGGGCGCCAUCAUCGGGAAGAAGGGGGCACACAUCAAACAGCUGGCGAGAUUCGCCCCUGCAGAAGGCCCAGACGUCAGCAAAAGGAUGGUCAUCAUCACCCGGCCACAGGAAGCCCAGCUCUAAGCCCAGGGACGGAUCUUUGGGAAACUGAAAGAAGAAAACUACUUUAACCCCAAAGAAGUGAAGCUGGAAGCCCAUAUCAGAGUGCCCUCUUCCACAGCUGGCCGGGUGAUUGGCAAAGGUGGCAAGACCAUGAAUGAACCGCAGAACUUAACCAGUGCAGAAGUCAUCAUGCCUCGUAACGAAAAGCCAGAUGAAAAUGCGGAAGUGAUCGUCGGAAUUAUCGGAUACUUCUUUGCUAGCCAGACUGCACAGCGCAAGAUCAGAGAAACUGUACAACAGGUGAAGCAGCAGGAGCAGAAAUACCCUCAGGGAGUCGCCUCACAGCGCAGCAAGUGAGGCUCCCACAGGCACCAGCAAAACAACAGAUGGAUGGAGCCCUUCCAACACCUGACAGAAUGAGACCAAACACAGCCAGCCAGAUCGGGAGCAAACCAAAGACCAUCUGAGGAAUGAGAAGUCUGCGGAGGCGGCCAGGGACUCUGCAGAGGCCCUGAGAAUCCCAGGGACCGAGGAGAGGUGGGGAAGGUCAGCCAGGUUUGCCAGAACCACGGGGCCCGCCUCUCGCCCCCCAGGGCUUCUGCAGGCUUCAGCCAUCCACUUCACCAUCCAUUCGGAUCUCUUCUUAACUCCCACGACGCUAUCCCUUUUAGUUGAACUAACAUAGGUGAACGUGUUCAAAGCCAAGCAACAUGCACACCCUUUUCUGGUGGCAAAUCGUCUCUGUACAUGUGUGUACAUAUUAGAAGGGGAAGAUGUUAAGAUAUGUGGUCUGUGGGUUACACAGGGUGCCUGCAGCGGUAAUAUAUUUUAGAAAUAAUAUAUCAAAUAACUAACUCCAAUUUUUAA
Molecule: RNA transcript, 2194 nt
Organism: Mandrillus leucophaeus (drill)
Lineage: Eukaryota; Metazoa; Chordata; Mammalia; Primates; Cercopithecidae
Gene name: insulin-like growth factor 2 mRNA-binding protein 2 pseudogene
Exons: 1
Source: RefSeq, a predicted model, not a curated record